Molecule: ribosomal RNA, 860 nt
Filed under: uncultured Bacillota bacterium
Lineage: Bacteria; Bacillati; Bacillota
Description: bacterial SSU rRNA
Rfam family: Bacterial small subunit ribosomal RNA
Source: RNAcentral
CAAGUCGCACGAGAAAGUGGAGCAAUCCAUGAGUACAGUGGCGUACGGGUGAGUAACACGUGGAUCAUCUACCUUCUAGUGGGGAAUACCUCCGGGAAACUGGAGACAAUACCGCAUAAGCUCGUAAGAGGAAAGCAGCAAUGCGCUGGAAGAGGAGUCCGCGGCUGAUUAGCUAGUUGGCGGGGUAACGGCCCACCAAGGCGAAGAUCGGUAGCCGGCCUGAGAGGGCACACGGCCACACUGGCACUGAAACACGGGCCAGACUCCUACGGGAGGCAGCAGUGGGGAAUCUUGCACAAUGGAGGAAACUCUGAUGCAGCGACGCCGCGUGAGCGAUGAAGCCCUUCGGGGUGUAAAGCUCUUUCGACGGGAACGAUAAUGACGGUACCCGAAGAAGAAGCUGCGGCUAACUACGUGCCAGCAGCCGCGGUAAUACGUAGGCAGCAAGCGUUGUUCGGAAUUACUGGGCGUAAAGAGUGUGUAGGCGGUGCUCCAAGUCUGGUGUGAAAUCUCCCGGCUCAACUGGGAGGGUGCAUUAGAAACUGGAAUGCUAGAGGAUGGGAGAGGUAAGCGGAAUUCCUGGUGUAGCGGUGAAAUGCGUAGAUAUCAGGAGGAACACCUGUGGUGUAGACAGCUUACUGGACCAUUUCUGACGCUGAGACACGAAAGCGUGGGUAGCAAACAGGAUUAGAUACCCUGGUAGUCCACGCCCUAAACGAUGCAUACUUGGUGUGAGCGAUUCAUUUCGUUCGUGCCGGAGCUAACGCGUUAAGUAUGCCGCCUGGGGAGUACGGUCGCAAGGCUGAAACUCAAAGGAUUGACGGGGGCCCGCACAAGCGGUGGAGCAUGUGGUUCAAUUC